UGCUGACGAGUGGCGAACGGGUGAGUAAUAUAUCGGAACGUGCCCAGUCGUGGGGGAUAACGCAGCGAAAGCUGUGCUAAUACCGCAUACGAUCUACGGAUGAAAGCGGGGGACCUUCGGGCCUCGCGCGAUUGGAGCGGCCGAUGUUAGAUUAGGUAGUUGGUGAGGUAAAGGCUCACCAAGCCUACGAUCUAUAGCUGGUCUGAGAGGACGACCAGCCACACUGGGACUGAGAUACGGCCCAGACUCC
RNAcentral lists this ribosomal RNA (250 nucleotides) under uncultured bacterium. RNAcentral describes it as "partial 16S ribosomal RNA". It matches the Rfam family "Bacterial small subunit ribosomal RNA", at positions 86 to 339 of the family's 1533-position model. The record is from RNAcentral.